This 900-nucleotide long non-coding RNA is filed under the name Anser cygnoides (Swan goose). RNAcentral describes it as "lncRNA (ENSACDG00005018762.1)". The record is from RNAcentral. Lineage: Eukaryota; Metazoa; Chordata; Aves; Anseriformes; Anatidae.
AUGUUUCGGAGCCGGGCUGAGGCUGCCAGUCAUUUAAAGUUUGCUUUUACGUGCUCACACCGAGGAGAGCUGGGCUGGUUGGAGCGAGCGUUACAAAGCCUCUUUCUAGGAAAGGAGCUUUACGCAACAGAAGGCAAAAUAGGUCGUUGUCAAGGUUUAGGGCAUUCGCAAAAGAAAGUAAACAAGCGGGUGAGAUGGGAGGUCGGCUCGGCGCGGUGCUGGGCAGGAUAUGGCCCUGGGCUUGGUGCAAGGCCAUGCGUGCCGGAGGGUUUCCUGGGAGGGAAGUCAGCCUCAUGCCUGGGGCGGUGCGACUCUGCCCUGAUUCCCUCUGUGAUCCCUGGCAAACCAGUCGAUCCCAGUGCCCCAUCCAGACAGAGGGAGGAAUCGCCGCCCCGUGACACCCAAGGGUGUUGUCUGGGGGCAGGGCUUGCAGCCGGGCAGCCGGAGCAGGAGCUGACAUCGCUGCUGAUUCACGAUGGGACUGCGCUUGCCCGUGCUCUGCCCUAUGAAACUCACUGGAAGAGCAUCCCACACGCUGGGAUGGUUGAGCAACUCGACUCCUUUACACAGAGGAACAACGAGGUAGAGAAGGUUCCCGUGGGGAGCCAGGCAGAGCUACCUGGCUCGCUUGGGUUCAGCUGGCUGUCCCUCCUGGCCGCCUCUGAGGUCACUGGUCCCCUUGUUGGUGAGGAACUUGAGGCUACACCUUGGAGGAGCAUCUGGUCAUGGAUGAUCUAUCCGAAGGCUGAGGACACUGGAGGAUAUGAGGGCCCUGGGCUGGGACAUGCAUCACUCCGGAGUACGGCCAAGGCUCUUCUACACCAUCGCUGCAUCCAGGAGCACCAGGUCCUGCACGGCAAAACAGAAGCGGUCCCAGAACAUCCCCAGCGAUGGACAUAA